Molecule: ribosomal RNA, 484 nt
Filed under: uncultured bacterium
Lineage: Bacteria
Description: partial 16S ribosomal RNA
Rfam family: Bacterial small subunit ribosomal RNA
Source: RNAcentral
AUUGAACGCUGGCGGCAGGCCUAACACAUGCAAGUCGAGCGGAUGAAGGGAGCUUGCUCCUGGAUUCAGCGGCGGACGGGUGAGUAAUGCCUAGGAAUCUGCCUGGUAGUGGGGGAUAACGUCCGGAAACGGGCGCUAAUACCGCAUACGUCCUGAGGGAGAAAGUGGGGGAUCCUCGGACCUCACGCUAUCAGAUGAGCCUAGGUCGGAUUAGCUAGUUGGUGGGGUAAAGGCCUACCAAGGCGACGAUCCGUAACUGGUCUGAGAGGAUGAUCAGUCACACUAGAACUGAGACACGGUCCAGACUCCUAACGGAGGCAGCAGUGGGGAAUAUUGGACGAUGGGCGAAAGCCUGAUCCAGCCAUGCCGCGUGUGUUAAGAAGGUCUUCGGAUUGUAAAACACUUUAAGUUGGGAGGAAGGGCAGUAAGUUAAUACCUUGCUGUUUUGACGUUACCAACAGAAUAAGCACCGGCUAACUUCGUG